This 492-nucleotide ribosomal RNA is filed under the name uncultured bacterium. Its description in RNAcentral is "partial 16S ribosomal RNA". It matches the Rfam family "Bacterial small subunit ribosomal RNA", at positions 29 to 507 of the family's 1533-position model. The record is from RNAcentral.
AGUGAACGCUGGCGGUAGGCCUAACACAUGCAAGUCGAACGGCAGCACAGUAAGAGCUUGCUCUUACGGGUGGCGAGUGGCGGACGGGUGAGGAAUACAUCGGAAUCUACUUUUUCGGGGGGGAUAACGUAGGGAAACUUACGCUAAUACCGCAUACGACCUACGGGUGAAAGCAGGGGAUCUUCGGACCUUGCGCGAUUGAAUGAGCCGAUGUCGGAUUAGCUAGUUGGCGGGGUAAUGGCCCACCAAGGCGACGAUCCGUAGCUGGUCUGAGAGGAUGGUCAGCCACCCUGGAACUGAGACACGGUCCAGACUCCUACGGGAGGCAGCAGUGGGGAAUAGUGGGCAAUGGGCGCAAGCCUGAUCCAGCCGUCCCGCGUGGGUGAAGAAGGCCUUCGGGUUGUAAAGCCCUUUUGUUGGGAAAGAACAGCAGCCGGUUGAUACCCCGCUGUUCUGACGGUACCCAGAGAAUAAGCACCGGCUAACUUCGUG